GAUGAACGCUGGCGGCGUGCCUAAUACAUGCAAGUCGAGCGAACAGAUGAGGAGCUUGCUCCUCUGACGUUAGCGGCGGACGGGUGAGUAACACGUGGAUAACCUACCUAUAAGACUGGGAUAACUUCGGGAAACCGGAGCUAAUACCGGAUAAUAUAUUGAACCGCAUGGUUCAAUAGUGAAAGUCGGUUUUGCUGUCACUUAUAGAUGGAUCCGCGUCGCAUUAGCUAGUUGGUAAGGUAACGGCUUACCAAGGCAACGAUGCGUAGCCGACCUGAGAGGGUGAUCGGCCACACUGGAACUGAGACACGGUCCAGACUCCUACGGGAGGCAGCAGUAGGGAAUCUUCCGCAAUGGGCGAAAGCCUGACGGAGCAACGCCGCGUGAGUGAUGAAGGCCUUCGGAUCGUAAAACUCUGUUAUUAGGGAAGAACAAAUGUGUAAGUAACUAUGCACGUCUUGACGGUACCUAAUCAGAAAGCCACGGCUAACUACGUG
Molecule: ribosomal RNA, 497 nt
Filed under: uncultured bacterium
Lineage: Bacteria
Description: partial 16S ribosomal RNA
Rfam family: Bacterial small subunit ribosomal RNA
Source: RNAcentral